UUACUGUACCGGUGGUUGCGCGGGGAAGGUGCCUCGCUCACCUGAUAAAAGCUACCCUGGGGAUACCAGGCUUAUCUCCCCCAAGAUUCCACUUCGACGGGGAGGUUUGGCACCUCGAUGUCGGCUCAUCACAUCCUGGGGCGGUAGUAGGUCCCAAGGGUUGGGCUGUUCGCACAUUAAAGUGGUACGCGAGCUGGGUUCAGAACGUCGUUAGACAGUUCGGUCCCUAUCCGUCGCAGGCGUAGGAAAUUUGAGAAGACCUGUCCUUAGUACGAGCGGACCGGGAUGGACGUACCUCUGGUGUACCCGUUGUCCUGCCAAGGGCAUGGCUGGGUAGCUAUGUCCGGAAUGGAUAAGCGCUGAAAGAAUCUAAGCGCGAAGCCAACUUCAAGAUAAGAUUCCCCACCGCAAGGGUAAGACCCCAGAAAGACUAUCUGGUUGAUAGGUCGAAGGUGUAAGUGCAGCAA
RNAcentral lists this ribosomal RNA (467 nucleotides) under Clostridioides difficile. Its description in RNAcentral is "bacterial LSU rRNA". It matches the Rfam family "Bacterial large subunit ribosomal RNA", at positions 2411 to 2881 of the family's 2925-position model. The record is from RNAcentral. Lineage: Bacteria; Bacillati; Bacillota; Clostridia; Peptostreptococcales; Peptostreptococcaceae.